UUCUCUGGGCGGGCCUUGGCAGGGGAGCCUUCGGGCUCGCCGGCGUUCCCCUAUUCUCCGGUCUGCUAACCCUGCCUUGCGCCCGCCCACCCCU
This 94-nucleotide non-coding RNA is filed under the name Cupriavidus alkaliphilus. Lineage: Bacteria; Pseudomonadati; Pseudomonadota; Betaproteobacteria; Burkholderiales; Burkholderiaceae. The record is from RNAcentral.